AUACGUAGGUGGCAAGCGUUAUCCGGAUUUACUGGGUGUAAAGGGCGUGUAGGCGGUCUCAUAAGUCAGAUGUGAAAUUCCCGGGCUUAACCCGGGCGCUGCAUCUGAAACUGUGGGACUUGAGUACUGGAGAGGAUAGUGGAAUUCCUAGUGUAGCGGUAAAAUGCGUAGAUAUUAGGAGGAACACCGGUGGCGAAGGCGACUAUCUGGACAGUAACUGACGCUGAGGCGCGAAAGCGUGGGGAGCAAACAGGAUUAGAUACCCUGGUAGUCCACGCCGUAAACGAUGGAUACUAGGUGUAGGGGGUAUCGACCCCCCCUGUGCCGGAGUUGACACAAUAAGUAUCCCACCUGGGGAGUACGGCCGCAAGGCUGAA
RNAcentral lists this ribosomal RNA (377 nucleotides) under uncultured bacterium. RNAcentral describes it as "bacterial SSU rRNA". It matches the Rfam family "Bacterial small subunit ribosomal RNA", at positions 523 to 898 of the family's 1533-position model. The record is from RNAcentral.